This 21-nucleotide non-coding RNA is filed under the name Caenorhabditis elegans. The record is from RNAcentral. Lineage: Eukaryota; Metazoa; Nematoda; Chromadorea; Rhabditida; Rhabditidae.
UAAAGACUGCGAAAAAAUAAU